UACGUAGGGGGCAAGCGUUGUCCGGAUUUAUUGGGCGUAAAGAGCGUGUAGGCGGCCAGACAGGUCCGUUGUGAAAACUCGAGGCUCAACCUCGAGAUGUCGAUGGAAACCGUCUGGCUAGAGUCCGGAAGAGGAGAGUGGAAUUCCUGGUGUAGCGGUGAAAUGCGCAGAUAUCAGGAAGAAUAUCCGUGGCGAAGGCGGCUCUCUGGGACGGUACUGACGCUGAGACGCGAAAGCGUGGGGAGCGAACAGG
Molecule: ribosomal RNA, 253 nt
Filed under: uncultured bacterium
Lineage: Bacteria
Description: partial 16S ribosomal RNA
Rfam family: Bacterial small subunit ribosomal RNA
Source: RNAcentral